ACAUGCCUACAUCAUAGAGUUAAUGCACCAGAUCCCAUUAUAACUCUGCAAUUAAUCAUGCUUGGGCUAGAGUAGUAUUGGGAUGGGUGACCACUUGGGAAGUCCUAGUAUUUUACAUGCC
Picea glauca (white spruce) is the source of this 121-nucleotide non-coding RNA. Lineage: Eukaryota; Viridiplantae; Streptophyta; Pinopsida; Pinales; Pinaceae. The record is from Rfam.